CCUACGGGAGGCAGCAGUGGGGGAUAUUGCACAAUGGAGGAAACUCUGAUGCAGCGAAGCCGCGUGAGGGAAGAAGGUAUUCGGAUUGUAAAACUCUGUCUUUGGGGAAGAAAAUGACGGUACGUAACGAGGGAGCUGCGGCUCACUACGUGCCGGCAGCCGCGGUACCACGUAGGGAGCGAGCGUUGUCCGGAAUUACUGGGGGUAAGGGGGGCGUAGGCGGGCGAGAGAGUUGAAUGUGAAAGCGACCGGCUUAACCGGGAGCUGCGUUCAAAACUUCUUGUCUUGAGUUGAGUAGAGGCAGGCGGAAUGCCUGGUGUAGCGGUGAAAUGCAUAGAUAUCAGGAGGAACACCAGUUGCGAAGGCAGCCUGCCGGG
RNAcentral lists this ribosomal RNA (377 nucleotides) under uncultured bacterium. Its description in RNAcentral is "partial 16S ribosomal RNA". It matches the Rfam family "Bacterial small subunit ribosomal RNA", at positions 338 to 733 of the family's 1533-position model. The record is from RNAcentral.